Molecule: ribosomal RNA, 454 nt
Filed under: Aspergillus flavus
Lineage: Eukaryota; Fungi; Ascomycota; Eurotiomycetes; Eurotiales; Aspergillaceae
Description: eukaryotic LSU rRNA
Rfam family: 5.8S ribosomal RNA (bases 157-310)
Source: RNAcentral
AACCUCCCACCCGUGUUUACUGUACCUUAGUUGCUUCGGCGGGCCCGCCAUUCAUGGCCGCCGGGGGCUCUCAGCCCCGGGCCCGCGCCCGCCGGAGACACCACGAACUCUGUCUGAUCUAGUGAAGUCUGAGUUGAUUGUAUCGCAAUCAGUUAAAACUUUCAACAAUGGAUCUCUUGGUUCCGGCAUCGAUGAAGAACGCAGCGAAAUGCGAUAACUAGUGUGAAUUGCAGAAUUCCGUGAAUCAUCGAGUCUUUGAACGCACAUUGCGCCCCCUGGUAUUCCGGGGGGCAUGCCUGUCCGAGCGUCAUUGCUGCCCAUCAAGCACGGCUUGUGUGUUGGGUCGUCGUCCCCUCUCCGGGGGGGACGGGCCCCAAAGGCAGCGGCGGCACCGCGUCCGAUCCUCGAGCGUAUGGGGCUUUGUCACCCGCUCUGUAGGCCCGGCCGGCGCUUG